GGCACCUUGACAGAGUGGUUAUUGUGUCAGCCUGCUAAGCUGAUCCCUUCGGGGGCGUGCGUUCGAAUCGCACAGGUGUCG
Hypoxylon sp. CI-4A is the source of this 81-nucleotide non-coding RNA. NCBI's taxonomy places the organism in Eukaryota, Fungi, Ascomycota, Sordariomycetes, Xylariales, Hypoxylaceae. The record is from the annotation of a GenBank genome assembly.